GGCUCCUUGGAUAUUUUAACAUAAGGAGUCGGACCUGCCCAGUGAAUAUAUUUUAACGGCCGCGGUACUCUGACCGUGCAAAGGUAGCAUAAUCAUUUGCCCUAUAAUUGAGGGCUAGUAUGAAUGGUUUGACGUGAACAAAGCUGUCUCUAUGUAAUUUUUUAGAACUUGAUUUCUAGGUGAGGAAACCUAGAUUUAAUUGAAAGACAAGAAGACCCUAUUGAGCUUUAAAAGAAUAAAUUGAAAAUAAUAUAUAAUUUUAAAUAUUAAUCUAUUUUAGAUUUUGGUUGGGGCGACUAUGGAACAAAUAAAGCUUCUUUAUUAAUCAAUAAGACUUACAAGUGUUGAUCCAAAAAUUUUGAUCAAUGGAAUUAGUUACCAUAGGGAUAACAGCAUAAUUCUCUUUGAGAGUCCUUAUCGAAAAGAGAGUUUGUGACCUCGAUGUUGGACUAGAAUAUCCUAAAGAUGCAGCAGUCUUUAAGGGUUGGUCUGUUCGACCAUUAAAAUUCU
RNAcentral lists this ribosomal RNA (510 nucleotides) under Erronea errones. RNAcentral's name for it is "partial 16S ribosomal RNA". It matches the Rfam family "Bacterial large subunit ribosomal RNA", at positions 1816 to 2597 of the family's 2925-position model. Lineage: Eukaryota; Metazoa; Mollusca; Gastropoda; Littorinimorpha; Cypraeidae. The record is from RNAcentral.